RNAcentral lists this long non-coding RNA (291 nucleotides) under Helianthus annuus (common sunflower). RNAcentral's name for it is "sRNA HanXRQr2_Chr02g0049171". The record is from RNAcentral. Lineage: Eukaryota; Viridiplantae; Streptophyta; Magnoliopsida; Asterales; Asteraceae.
ACAACACUCGAACCACCAACAAUCCACCACCACCGCCGCCGUCUUCUGUCGCAAAAACAGCACGCCACCGCCGUAAUCGCACCUCCGCUCCACCGUCCAUACACCGCCAAUCACCACUGUUGUUGCAAACGGCUCCACCGGCCUUUGGCCGCCAGCCUUCUGUCGAGUGGGAGGGGUGACCGAGAGGGUGUUUGGCCUGUGGAAGUGUGUGUAUAAUUUGAGAGAUGAGUGAGAUUUGGUUUGGGUUUUAUAAUAAGAUCGAGAGAGAGGGUAAGGCAUAAACGAUGUCAG